This is a non-coding RNA of Pelobates cultripes (western spadefoot toad), 365 nucleotides long. Lineage: Eukaryota; Metazoa; Chordata; Amphibia; Anura; Pelobatidae. The record is from the annotation of a GenBank genome assembly.
UGGCGGACGGGGUUUGGAUUCCCGGUGCUCCGCCUAUUUGGUCUGUUCGAUGGGCGUCUUGCCCUUGACCUUAGUGGCAGGGGGGCUGGAGCCCUUCCCUUGCCGUUUUGACUUGAAGGCUUGUGGGCCUGAGGUCUCCAUCAAGCGGUGUGGGGUAGAGUUCAUAACAGAACCUUCUCCACUGAGGCCGUUACUGUGGCAUUUAUCAUUGCCUAGAAAUCUUGGGAACGUUGAGAGUGUCCACCAUGACUCGUUCCCGUCCUGUUGGGAGAUAGUGUGAGGGUCAGCACGUAGGGGUGUUAGACUCCUGGUAGAACUGGGGAUCACCCAGGUAAAACGGUUUGAAUUGCCUGCUUUAGUAUGUC